Molecule: ribosomal RNA, 452 nt
Filed under: uncultured bacterium
Lineage: Bacteria
Description: bacterial SSU rRNA
Rfam family: Bacterial small subunit ribosomal RNA
Source: RNAcentral
GUGGGGAAUUUUGCGCAAUGGGCGAAAGCCUGACGCAGCGACGCCGCGUGAGGGAUGAAGGUCUUCGUGAUUGUAAACCUCUGUCAGGGAGGAUUAAAAGCAUGAAUAUUAACACCAUUUGUGCUUGACUUAACUCCCAGAGGAAGCCCCGGCUAACUACGUGCCAGCAGCCGCGGUAAUACGUAGGGGGCAAGCGUUACUCGGAUUCACUGGGCGUAAAGCGAGUUAAGGCUGUUGAGUAAGUCAGGGGUGAAAUCCCUCAGCUUAACUGAGGAACUGCCUUUGAUACUGCUUGACUCGAGGACAGGAGAGGAAAGUGGAAUUCCCGGUGUAGCGGUGGAAUGCGUAGAUAUCGGGAGGAACACCAGAGGCGAAGGCGGCUUUCUGGACUGAUCCUGACGCUGAUACUCGAAAGCUAGGGGAGCAAACAGGAUUAGAAACCCUUGUAGUCC